GGCGAGCGAACGGGGAGCAGCCCAGAGCCUGAAUCAGUGUGUGUGUUAGUGGAAGCGUCUGGAAAGGCGCGCGAUACAGGGUGACAGCCCCGUACACAAAAAUACACAUGCUGUGAGCUCGAUGAGUAGGGCGGGACACGUGGUAUCCUGUCUGAAUAUGGGGGGACCAUCCUCCAAGGCUAAAUACUCCUGACUGACCGAUAGUGAACCAGUACCGUGAGGGAAAGGCGAAAAGAACCCCGGCGAGGGGAGUGAAAAAGAACCUGAAACCGUGUACGUACAAGCAGUGGGAGCACGCUUAGGCGUGUGACUGCGUACCUUUUGUAUAAUGGGUCAGCGACUUAUAUUCUGUAGCAAGGUUAACCGAAUAGGGGAGCCGAAGGGAAACCGAGUCUUAACUGGGCGUUAAGUUGCAGGGUAUAGACCCGAAACCCGGUGAUCUAGCCAUGGGCAGGUUGAAGGUUGGGUAACACUAACUGGAGGACCGAACCGACUAAUGUUGAAAAAUUAGCGGAUGACUUGUGGCUGGGGGUGAAAGGCCAAUCAAACCGGGAGAUAGCUGGUUCUCCCCGAAAGCUAUUUAGGUAGCGCCUCGUGAAUUCAUCUCCGGGGGUAGAGCACUGUUUCGGCAAGGGGGUCAUCCCGACUUACCAACCCGAUGCAAACUGCGAAUACCGGAGAAUGUUAUCACGGGAGACACACGGCGGGUGCUAACGUCCGUCGUGAAGAGGGAAACAACCCAGACCGCCAGCUAAGGUCCCAAAGUCAUGGUUAAGUGGGAAACGAUGUGGGAAGGCCCAGACAGCCAGGAUGUUGGCUUAGAAGCAGCCAUCAUUUAAAGAAAGCGUAAUAGCUCACUGGUCGAGUCGGCCUGCGCGGAAGAUGUAACGGGGCUAAACCAUGCACCGAAGCUGCGGCAGCGACGCUUAUGCGUUGUUGGGUAGGGGAGCGUUCUGUAAGCCUGUGAAGGUGUGCUGUGAGGUAUGCUGGAGGUAUCAGAAGUGCGAAUGCUGACAUAAGUAACGAUAAAGCGGGUGAAAAGCCCGCUCGCCGGAAGACCAAGGGUUCCUGUCCAACGUUAAUCGGGGCAGGG
This 1093-nucleotide ribosomal RNA is filed under the name Escherichia coli. RNAcentral describes it as "bacterial LSU rRNA". It matches the Rfam family "Bacterial large subunit ribosomal RNA", at positions 248 to 1379 of the family's 2925-position model. Lineage: Bacteria; Pseudomonadati; Pseudomonadota; Gammaproteobacteria; Enterobacterales; Enterobacteriaceae. The record is from RNAcentral.